This 30-nucleotide non-coding RNA is filed under the name Homo sapiens (human). The record is from RNAcentral. Lineage: Eukaryota; Metazoa; Chordata; Mammalia; Primates; Hominidae.
UAGAGAUGGUGAAUUUCAGCCAGAGCGCCU